UCAUUAGCUGCGGCAGCUUACACAUGCAAGUCGAACGGUAGCAGGAGAAAGCUUGCUUUCUUGCUGACGAGUGGCGGACGGGUGAGUAAUGCUUGGGAAUCUGGCUUAUGGAGGGGGAUAACUACUGGAAACGGUAGCUAAUACCGCGUAACAUCUUCGGAUUAAAGGGUGGGAUCUUCGGACCACUUGCCAUAAGAUGAGCCCAAGUGGGAUUAGGUAGUUGGUGGGGUAAAGGCCUACCAAGCCGACGAUCUCUAGCUGGUCUGAGAGGAUGGCCAGCCACACUGGAACUGAGACACGGUCCAGACUCCUACGGGAGGCAGCAGUGGGGAAUAUUGCACAAUGGGGGGAACCCUGAUGCAGCCAUGCCGCGUGAAUGAAGAAGGCCUUCGGGUUGUAAAGUUCUUUCGGUGAUGAGGAAGGCAGAUAAGUUAAUAGCUUGUUUGAUUGACGUUAGUCACAGAAGAAGCACCGGCUAACUCCGUGCCAGCAGCCGCGGUAAU
This 503-nucleotide ribosomal RNA is filed under the name uncultured bacterium. Its description in RNAcentral is "bacterial SSU rRNA". It matches the Rfam family "Bacterial small subunit ribosomal RNA", at positions 39 to 524 of the family's 1533-position model. The record is from RNAcentral.